This is a long non-coding RNA of Triticum dicoccoides, 838 nucleotides long. RefSeq lists it as uncharacterized. NCBI's taxonomy places the organism in Eukaryota, Viridiplantae, Streptophyta, Magnoliopsida, Poales, Poaceae. The transcript is spliced from 3 exons. The record is from RefSeq and is a predicted model, not a curated record.
UCCUCCGCAGCCUUUCCUCUCGCGAGCCCCCUCUCACCCACAUGCGAUUCCUCGCACCGCCGCCCGAUUUCGUCGACUUCCCGCGGGUAUGGUCGGUGCGCAGCACACCCCCAUCUUCCUCUCGCUCCGCUCCUUCCUCCCCUCUAUCUAGAUUCACAGCUCCCGGCCACUAGCACUCGCCAGCAGGCCCUCCCCAUGUCUAGGGUUUCGGCGCCGGGGCAGCUCCGAUGGAUCCUCUCCGUCACCUGCUGCUGGUGCUGCUAGAACGGGGUGGCGCGGAUGCCCUCCUCCCGCAGGAUGUGCUGAGGCGACGCAACCUGCAGUGGCAUACUUGGGAGUCGGGACGAACGCGGGCGCCACGGCCUUGUCUCCCUCGACGAUGGUGGCCGCGAACGCCGGUGGUCCUUGUCGUCCUCUACCUCCAAGGACGUGCUUCGGUACAACUCAGGCACCCCUGCCCCUGAAGCUUGUCCUCUCAUCCGGUCAUGUAUAGAUCGUCCUCGCGUGCGUCGAUUUGCCUCCUCCUCGACGUGGCACCUGCAACCUAGAUGUGGACGUGGUUUGGGUCUUCUCAUUAAGUACGCGAUGUAGCAGAGCUUGAGGCAUCAACCAAGGAGCUUGAGGCGUUGCAUUUUGAAAAAAAUAAUCAAGAAACAUAUAUCAUGUUAUUCCUACUUGGUGCAGCCUAUCACAGAUGCCAUGACAUGGUGUAGUUGGGCCAACGACAAGAAGUUGAAUAAGAAUCUUUUGUAUAUGUUUUUGAUGUAAACUGUAUUGUGUUGGUUCUAACCUUGCUAUGUGUUGUAUUUCAUCAAUUGAUGUUGUAAAUUGUCUAUUC